RNAcentral lists this long non-coding RNA (381 nucleotides) under Elaeis guineensis (African oil palm). RNAcentral's name for it is "long non-coding RNA (EGUI_LNC072100)". Lineage: Eukaryota; Viridiplantae; Streptophyta; Magnoliopsida; Arecales; Arecaceae. The record is from RNAcentral.
UCCAUCCCCUACAAACUUUUGAUUCCCCGCAUUCACACAUGCACACAAGCAUAUAAGUACAUACAUAAACAUACCAACAACUGUGAUACUCCCAUACUUGAUAUUACAUAGUAUAUACUGGGGUCCAUGGAUUUGCUAGAGAGAGAAAGAGAGAGAAAGGAGAGGAAGGAGAGAGAGAAGAAAGAGAGGAGAGAUACUUUACCAUCUCUCUUAGAUGGGGAAGGAGAAGCCAUGGGUUCAUGGUCAGUGGCUGGAACGGGUGAACAAUCAGCAAAGGUGACCAAUUGAUGAGAAAAAAACCAAAGAAAAUCAUCAAACAAGGAAUUUACUUGGCUUUAUUUUGGGCAUUGGGCCAUUCAUUGGCGGCCACAAUUUCCAAGG